CAGAAAUGUUUCCUUUUAAAAAAAGGAAAUGGUGAAUUACAUUAAAAGCAAAUUAUAUUAGCAAUUUUGUGUGUAAGUUAAAAGCCACCUGCACAAGUACAGGUGGCUAGAAGCCAGAGUCCUUCCAGUGAAAGAGCCUGAGGGUUUAGCUGACCUCAUGUGUGCUAGGUCCCAUCUAUGGCUGGGGCGGAGAAAGCCAGUGGGUCCCUAGCCACCACCCACAGCUAGACAGGGAGUGAGGGAGGCCCUCCCUGUGCCCACAGCUGGUCUGGCCACAGCCCCUGCGCUGCCGGGCUCACUCCCAGCUCCUGUGUUCUGGGAGAGCCGUGAUCCAGGUGAGGCAGAGCCACCCGCAGAGCCAUGAGGAGCAGGAAGUGCCAGGAUCAGUACCCUGAAGUGAUGCAAAGAAAGUGGAGAUGCGGUGGGAGAGAAAGGAGACACCAAAAGUCAUGAGGAGAGAAAUCAUAAUGACCAGAUGGGAAGAGAAAAUGAGUUUUGAAGGAUUACAGCAAAUAUUCACAAGCAUCUCCCAGACUUAAUGCAACUGGAUGAAGAUGAGAUUCUCAGCUCUACUUUCCCCCUCCGCAUUCCCUUUAGCAUCACCAUCGUCAAGGUCGGGUGCUGACCAGGAAUAGGAUGGGAAGGAGGAAGGGCUAUGGUUGCUCUUCGCAUGUUUGUUGUCAUGCUGUUCCGUUCUUCACACACAUGUCCAUCAGGCUCCCUGUCAACCUUCCAUUCCCCCAGGGUAGGCAUAUUUAUGAGUACCAUGUGCCCAGUGAGCUGGGCCACCCCCCCUCCACCACGUGGUGCCAGACUUGAAUGACCUUGUGCUCUGCAAAUAUAUUGGUUUAUCUGCAUUUGUGAUGUGUUUUUAUUUUGCUUUUCUCCCAUUUAUCUGCCUAGCAAACUUCCUUUUGUAAAGAAUGAAUAAAGGAAGCAUAUCCACAGCUGAGCUCAUGGUUAGGGGAAACAGCACACAGGAGGAUGCUUUGGUAGUGACCAGCAUUCCAGCUAAAGAAUGGAGGUUGGGGGAUGAAACAAGGGCACACAAAAACUAAAACUAUUUUUUUCUUUGUUUGCCUAGUUGAUUUGCUGUCCAAGAAUUGGGUGCUUGGACAGCAAAUUAGAGACCAAUACGAUAAGUGAAACAGCCUGCAGCAUAAUUAUCCAUGGGGAUUGUUGAAAAUGCAGAUUUCUGGGCCCCAUGUCAAUUCUGCUGUAUUGGAAUCACUAGGAAUGGGGACCAAUAAUUUUUAUUUUAAAAACUUUUCUUCAUUAGAAAAACAACUUUGUUGACUAUCAUUUAUAUCCAAUGAUAUGCUCCCAUUUUAAGUGCACAGUUCAAUGAAUUUUGACAAAUAUUCAUGCCCUAUUUUAGUCAGUUCCUCUCAUCCUCAGCUCCAGUUAACCACUGACUUGCUGUCUGCCAAUAUAUGUUAGUUUUGUCUGCCGUGGAAUUUCACAUAAAAAUUGUACAGU
Cercocebus atys (sooty mangabey) is the source of this 1479-nucleotide long non-coding RNA. RefSeq lists it as uncharacterized. The record is from RefSeq and is a predicted model, not a curated record. NCBI's taxonomy places the organism in Eukaryota, Metazoa, Chordata, Mammalia, Primates, Cercopithecidae. The transcript is spliced from 4 exons.